GUAGUCCACGCCCUAAACGAUGCACACUAGACCGGUGCGGCUCUGACGCCGUAUUGGCCGUAGAGAAAUUGAUAAGUGUGCCGCCUGGGGAGUACGGUCGCAAGGCUAAAACUCAAAGAAAUUGACGGGGGCUCACACAAGCGGUGGAGCAUGUUGCUUAAUUCGAAGCAACGCGAAGAACCUUACCUGGGUUUGACAUGCACGGAUUAGUUGGCGGAAACGUCAAUAAGGCCCGCAAGGGUACAACGUGCACAGGUGCUGCAUGGCUGUCGUCAACUCGUGCUGUGAAGUGUUUGGUUAAGUCCAUUAACGAGCGCAACCCUUGUCGUUAGUUGCUAACAGGUAAUGCUGAGGACUCUAGCGAGACUGCCGGCGUCAAGCCGGAGGAAGGUGGGGAUGACGUCAAGUCCUCAUGGCCCUUACAUCCAGGGUUGCAAACGUGCUACAAUGGUGCGUACAAAGCGAUGCGAGACCGCAAAGUGGAGCAAAUCGCAAAAAACGCACCCCAGUUCGGAUUGCAGGCUGCAACCCGCCUGCAUGAAGUCGGAAUCGCUAGUAAUCGGAGAUCAGCUACGCUCCGGUGAAUAUGUUCCUGAGCCUUGUACACACCGCCCGUCAAGUCAUGGGAGCCGGUAGAGCCCAAAGUCGCCACACUACUGUGGUGCCUACGGCAAGAUCGGUGACUGGGACU
This 691-nucleotide ribosomal RNA is filed under the name uncultured bacterium. RNAcentral's name for it is "bacterial SSU rRNA". It matches the Rfam family "Bacterial small subunit ribosomal RNA", at positions 790 to 1482 of the family's 1533-position model. The record is from RNAcentral.